RNAcentral lists this non-coding RNA (167 nucleotides) under pig gut metagenome. RNAcentral's name for it is "Lysine riboswitch". It matches the Rfam family "Lysine riboswitch aptamer". From Rfam's summary of the family: Riboswitches are metabolite binding domains within certain messenger RNAs that serve as precision sensors for their corresponding targets. The record is from RNAcentral.
UUUGGUAGAGGUUGCGUUUGACAUCAGUACAUGGCCGGAUGCCGCAGGGGCAGAGGAAGGCGAUGGAAAGGGGACGACGCCGAAGGAAUAAGGCAGCUGACAGCUUUAUCCCUGGGCAUACGGUGAAGAAUCGUAUGACUGUCAUCGCAAGAUGGGGCGCUAUCGGA